Molecule: long non-coding RNA, 1289 nt
Organism: Cervus elaphus (red deer)
Lineage: Eukaryota; Metazoa; Chordata; Mammalia; Artiodactyla; Cervidae
Exons: 3
Source: RefSeq, a predicted model, not a curated record
CCGGGGCCGAUCCAGUUCAGGGAGGUCAGAAAGGCAGCUCGGAACGCGCCCAACCGGGACUGGAAACGUGUAAAACCCUCGUUUCAGGCCGAUUCCGCCUCGUCCAGGCAGCUUGUCUUGGGGGCACCCUAACCUCUCCGAAUCUCAGUUUCCCCAUCUUGGGGAUCCCUGAGGCCGGAAGUUGUAGAAGCACCUAGGAAGCUACGGGGUCCGGCAUCGGGACCAGUUUCCGGCUUUGCGCUCCCCUGACUUGGCAGAAAGAAGAGCUGGAUGAUGACUAGAAGGUUUCGGAAGACAUCAUGGAAGACAUCUCAGGAGGGAAAAGUGAAUUAUCCACAAGGAUUCAGGGGCGGUGCUCCCCAUCAAAGGCUGGUGUCAGGAAAGACUCUGAGGUCAGAAUCCAGACACGGGAUUGAAGGUGCUGAUGAGCUCCCCCGCAGCACAGACUUUGGGGAGAAGAACGUGGAAUUCCCUAUCAGCAUCGCCAGGCCUUCAAAGUCCCCUGCUUGCCUGGUGCCCUGGGGGCCACUGCUGGGAUAUCACAAAGUAGACCUCAGGGCUUCGAGGCAGGAUUACAUCAGGGGAGGGAUGGACAGGGGGGAAGGAUCAAAGGCAUCCAGGGCCCUGGCUUCAUUGGCAGGACUCCCAGUGGGGCCCACAGGCCUGAAUUCCUGGCGGGACCCCCAGGAAACAUUCUGAUGGGCAGAUAGAGCCGUUCGUUCUAACCGCAGGCUGCCUCCUCUCUCCCCCUCUUCCUCGUCCUCUGGUUUGUUCCUUGAAAUCAGAAUUGGGGGUUGCUGAAUGCUUCACCCAACUCGGGACAGCAGGGUCUGCUCUUCUAAGGUAUCCCCAUUCAUUCUCGAGUCUCAGUUCCCUCGUGUGUGAAAUGGACAUUCUAAUAACAGGCGGGGAUCCCGAGUUGUCUGAAGACUCAGUGGAGUGAUGUUAAGUAUUCAGGAGGGAAAAAGAAGAAGGAGAAGGGGAAGAAGAAGAGGAAGAAGAAUAUGGUGAAAGGGAAUUCCCUGAUGGCCAGUGGUUAGGACUUCGUGCUUUCACUGCUGGGGCCCAGGUUCGAUCCCUAGUCCAGGAACUAAAAUCCCGCCAACCAAAACAGACAAACAGAACCCCAGUGUUUUGUUUGUUAAGUGUUCAGGAGGCAAAAGAUGUGUUGUUUUGGAGUGAGACACUCUUGGGAUUAAAUCAAGCUGUCUUUCCUAUAGUUGUUCAGUCACUAAGUCGUGUCCAAUUCUUUGCGACCCCAUGGGCUGCAGCACGCCAGACUUCCUUAU